CGAUCAUCCAACCAAUUUUUUUCCCUUCAUUGACUUGGAAAUGUUUGAUCAUUUACAUUUUAAUUUCUUUUUCUCCACAAUCAGGAAGAACAGUUAAAAAUUUGAUAUUUCAACAUCUAGUAGUAAAAAUUAAUUUGAAAGUAAAAGUAAAUUAAGAAUCGAUAAUAAAUAAAUAAAUAAAAACCUUAUCUUCUCUCCCGUGCUUUUUCUUCCACUCUUCGUCUUCUCCAAUUGAAUCUCCAGUGACCGGCGUGUGGUGGCUCCUUUAGCACCGUCGCCAAUCUAGUUUGCUUUCUUUAGCUUUCUCAUUGUUUAUGUUGUGUUUUGUUUAAGCUUUGGAUGUGGAUCGAACAAGAGGAUUCAGAUCUAAGAGUUCAUCUCUGGUCAUACUUGUCGAGGUGGUCAUGGGCUGUCUGGUUGGUAUCCGUCGUCGGUGAAUCGUACUGGAUUCGCGCUUCUGAUAUUUCACCGUUCAAUUUAGGUAGAAGUGAAGGAUUCAUGUUUCGUCGUGGCCUUGCGGUGGUCUUGGGCUAGAUGGUUGAGUCUGGAGCCGGUGAAGUGCGUCGAUCUCCUCUACCCAUGAGUUUCUCCUGUUUGCGGUCCCUUCCUCUUAUCUAGUUUCUCUUGGUUUUAGUUUGCCGUAUGGUGUAGUUGAUGGUUUGAACUCUUUCUAUCUUUGAUUAGAGUAGAGAUAAUUAUCUCUAGUCUCUAUUCAGCAAUGGCGUGAUGGCACGUUUGUGAGCAGAAUAGGAUUAGCAGAAGUUGUGUUUUGUCACCUAUCCAUUUCCAGUCCUGAAGGAGUCCUCGCUGCAUCUUUCAAUAAGAGUUCUUCCUAUUCAUGGUGUGUUCGCUGAUCUCAUAAGUCCUCGGUGGCUUCUUCUUGGUUGUUAGAAGAAAUAUAAUGAGGUUGAGGUUUUGGUUUUGGUUCAAUCGGAUGAAGAUGCGGUUGUGUUGGAAGGUUUUGCCCAGGUGUUUCGGUUCUUUGUGGUUCUUGUUAGUGUGGUCGGUGUUGUGCUAUUCUGUGUGUUCUGGCUCUUUAUCGUGGACGGAAGGGUUCAGGUGAGUUUUUGUUUUGGAUUAUACGUCUUGUUGCUUGCUCUCUUGGCUGGUGGUGUAGCAUAGCAAGACAUCCGGCUGAUUUAGGCUCUGGACUAUGUUAUCUGUUGUCGGUUAUUGCUUUGUUUGGGUUGUAGCUUCCCUCUGAUGGGCUUUGUUUCUAGGGAUUUUAACAUGUUCUGCUGACUUAUGUAUUUUAUCUGGCAUUUGGUGCUUAAUAUAAUUCAGUCGACGGAGAAAAAAAAAUGUAAAAGUAGAUUAAUAUGUUGACAAAAAAAUCAAAAUGUAAAUUUGUCAUUCGAUUCCUAAUAAAAAUAAAACGAAGGGACGCGAAUAGAACUAUGCUUUGCGCUUUGUUAAAAAGAAUUGGG
This 1427-nucleotide long non-coding RNA is filed under the name Brassica napus (rape). RNAcentral describes it as "long non-coding RNA (BNAP_LNC013077)". The record is from RNAcentral. Lineage: Eukaryota; Viridiplantae; Streptophyta; Magnoliopsida; Brassicales; Brassicaceae.